UUUAAUGAUUUAAUUUUUUAGAUUAUUAGGAUUUUUUUUGUAAAAUUUAGCUUAUUUCUGGAGUAUUUUGGUAAAGCAUAUAGCAGAAUUUUAUAAUUCAGAAUUAGCAACAUUGGGCUGCGCAGAACCGGACGAAAAUUGAUUUCGAGAACGAACACAUCUGUUGUAUUUCCACCAUGCGUAUAGAAUAAACAAUCAACAAGAAAUGGCUUCAAGAGAGAUCAUACAGAAGUUCAAAAUGGAUACGGAAAUUGAUAAUGAGAUAAGAAGAUUGACUGAGGUCUUAAAAAAGAAACAAGAGGAUCGCAAACGCCUGGCAGAGAAAAUCAAGACAAUAAGGCGAUGAGGAAUGUGAGCGAAUUUAAGAACUCGAGGGACCGCGAUCUGAUACAGAGGCUAGAAAGAUCAUUGACAGCUUCCAAAAUGAAUUAAUAAAUAGCAGUGAUGACGACGCGAAGAGAUUAAUUUAGAAUGCAAAUCAAUGGUCGAAAACAAAAGUUACGAGACAAAAUAUAAGAAGACAACCGGAAUACGAAAUGGCAGCAGGAAGUGCCAUUCUUACAAACGUGGAAACCAAUCCUGCAUUUAAUGUCCUCGAGUGACACCGACGCUAGUAAUGAUGCGUACCAAAUAAGAGGACCAAACCACUUUAAGUAAAUUCCCCACCACAUCAAAAAAACCUAAUGCCUAACCUAAUGCCCAAUAUUCCACUAACAAAGUUUAAGAAGAAACUUGGAAGAUCCAAGGUACGCUGACAAACAAAAGAGAUCACUCGAGAGGUACUACAGUGAUUUACCUUUACAAACAUUAUUAAACAUAAUCAAGAUUAACUAAUCCAGACAAAAAAAAACGAUAGGAAGAUUUAAAAGAAAUCAGAAAAACACAGCAAAGGAAACUUGUACAUCAAGCGUUAUACAGAGAAAUACAUUGGAAAAAAGAAGUCCACACAAAACAUCAAGUGGCAGUAGAAGAUGAGGAGGCUGAGCACACAGAAAUUUUAAAUGGAGCACAGUCACAAGCAUAACAAAUGGAAGUCAUAGACGAGGCUCAAACAAAUCACA
Molecule: long non-coding RNA, 1061 nt
Organism: Trachymyrmex septentrionalis
Lineage: Eukaryota; Metazoa; Arthropoda; Insecta; Hymenoptera; Formicidae
Exons: 4
Source: RefSeq, a predicted model, not a curated record